Pezoporus flaviventris is the source of this 1115-nucleotide long non-coding RNA. RefSeq lists it as uncharacterized. The record is from RefSeq and is a predicted model, not a curated record. The transcript has 3 exons. Lineage: Eukaryota; Metazoa; Chordata; Aves; Psittaciformes; Psittacidae.
CCACUGUGAAAAACAGAAGUGAUCUUGUCACAGGGGGCACAACAGGCUGAGGGUAUGUCAGUGCCCCAGGGUAAAGGGCAAGCCAAGCUCAUUUUAAACUAGAUAACUCACAUUACCUUAGGCGCCUUAGUUGCAAUAGCAUGUUUAGGCUUGGCUGAUUUAUCCCGCUUGGAAGUAAGUGCUAAGACUGCAAUGACUUCUUAUUCUGGCAGGUUGGUCUCUGUAUCCCAGCUAUGACCUGUCCAACACUUAAAUGAAUAUAAACCAGAGGAAGAGAUAAGUUAGGCUAAGGGAAGAAUAUAAACCUUUGGCAACCUGAAAAGAGAUCAGUCACAGGAUGAGUGAAGAUAUUGUAAAGGUACUUUACUCAUGCUAGAAGAUUAUGUGAGGCCAAUGUUUUUCAGGAAUGAAAAAAUUGGCUGAAAUUCUACGAGUUCCUGAUACGUGACUGGAAGAAGCAGUUGAAUCAUUACCUUGUCUUUGAAUGUAGCUGGAAAAUAAGCUGGUGGAGUGAAUCAUCACCAUCCUUGUGAGCAGAGGAGUGAUAAAACUAAGAGUGCAUAAACUAGCAAAAGCAUGAUGGCAGAUUGGAGGCCUGCAACGUCUGAAAUGAUACGCAGUCCAGGGAAAGGCAGAGCAGUCAGUAACAGAGAAAAGGGGCAGACAGGAAAAACUGGGGAAUAUGCACAUCACCCCAGCUGAAACUGGCAAAGGAAAGACAGCACAGAAUGAACAAGCUGGGAGGAAAUAAGGGGGAAGGUGAGAAACAAAGAGAUGGAGGAAGUGAGUAGCUAACCAUUCUAAUCAGAGAAAGGCAGCAAGUUUCCAGCUGGUUCAAAGCAUCUACCUGCCUCUUCAGAUUAUCAGCCUAUGAUGGCUGCUGUCUUGGUCCCAUUUGCUUACAAAUCCUCCCUCCCACUGUUGCUGAUGAUCAAUCUGUGGAGUUCUUUGGUGAAGGAUGUGCCAUCUGGGAAAACUCCUCACUCUGUGAUUGAAAAGAAGACUGCCUGUGACUUGGAUAUGACUGUUCACAGUUUGUACUGAGGGAUGCAUGUACUCUGUGUACCAUACAAUUUAGCUAAUACAAACAAUAAGCAACCAAUUAAGUACGUCAA